Molecule: long non-coding RNA, 1117 nt
Filed under: Equus asinus (donkey)
Lineage: Eukaryota; Metazoa; Chordata; Mammalia; Perissodactyla; Equidae
Description: lncRNA (ENSEASG00005031554.1)
Source: RNAcentral
AUGGCAUGUUUCAUGAAAUCAACCACGUCUGCUCUCCCACGCGUCUAUUUUUAAGAUCCCGUCUGACCCUGACUCAGCUGAGUGAAUCACGCUGGAUGCCUUUGAUGACACACCAACCCACAGAAGUGGGGGGAGGCACGAGACACAAUGGUGACGGUCGGCUGUGUUUACACCGAUGGAGCUCCCCACCACCCGACACACACAGCGCUCCGGCUCACAGGAAACGCGGGCACGCCGGCGUGAGUGCGAUAUAUUCACAAUUCAAGCCACGCUGACUUUUCUAACACACAUGCCCAUGCGUCUUCCACAUCUGAAACUGCCCGCUUAACUCCCUGGACACAGGAUUUGUGCAUUUUAUGUAUUUGUUAUGCUUCAAUUAAAAAGUUCAUCUGGAGAAAACUGAGCAUGCUGAGGGCAGAUAAAAAAUAAGAAGACGUUUGCAACAUGAAUGCCUUGAAGUUUGUGAUUCUAUGACGGCCUGCAGAAUGACAACAAGACAACUAUCCAGAGGGGCAAAGAAAGGAAAGGGCCUCCCACAGGAAGCUGGUGUAGUCCUGCCCACCUAGUCUUCGAAAUAAGAAAAAAAAUGCUUGCUGACUCAUUAUAGACUCAGAGGAAACCAGGGAGGACAUGAGUCUGGGAGUGGCAUCUACACUUUCAGACUCCCAUUUUCAACUUCCUCCUGGAUAUCACACCUUGGAGGUGCCAAGAUCCCUCAAAACAACAGAUCUAAAAUAAAGCUACGUCUCCUGUUAUGGGUUGAAUUGUGUGCCCCCAAAUCCCUGUGUUGAAGCCCUGACCUCCAGGACCUCAGAAUGUGACCUUAUUUGGAGAUGGGGUCUUUACAGCAGUAAUCAAGUUAAAAAGAAGUCUUAAGGCAGGCCCUAAUCCAAUAUGGCUGGUGUCCGUAUAACAUGGAGAAACCUGGGGAGAGACACACAGAGGGGAGAUGAUAUGAAGAGACCGGGAGAAGACAGCCGUCCACAAGCCAAGGAGAGAAGCAUGGCACAGAGCCUUCCUCCACAGCACUCAGAAGGAAUGGACCCUGCUGACACCUUGAUCUUGGACUUCCAGCCCCCAGAACUGUGGGACAAUAAAUUUCAGUGGCUGAAGCCCA